This is a long non-coding RNA of Puntigrus tetrazona (Sumatra barb), 605 nucleotides long. RefSeq lists it as uncharacterized. The transcript is spliced from 4 exons. The record is from RefSeq and is a predicted model, not a curated record. NCBI's taxonomy places the organism in Eukaryota, Metazoa, Chordata, Actinopteri, Cypriniformes, Cyprinidae.
GAUGGCUACUUUUCAAGUGGUUCUAGUCUCCAACGUCCAUCGCUCUUUUAUCCUGCUCAACUAUGGGAACAUUUCAGAAACAGAACAAAUUUGGCAGGCUGGAUACAGCACAGAGGAUUCUGUCAGUUCUUUCACAAGUCCAGCAACCAGUGCCCCACAGCUCUCUUCUAGCAGCAAUAUCAAUGUGAAUGGCCGCUGCUCGUUCCAUGUUGACGGCUCACCAAACUUGCCAACUAAUCUCCUGCCUUCUGGGAAUAAAGACAUAGUGAACCCCCCUGCUGAAGAUGGAAGCUCUGGUGUCAUUUACUUGCAGCAGCCUUUCAAAUACUUUGGACGCACAUACAAUCAGAUCUUUGUGAACAACAAUGGCUAUCUAACGUUUACUGAGGCACUGACUGCCUCCAGACCCUUUCUGGAUUCUGCAAGAGACAUCAUUGCUCCUCUUUGGACUCGCCUUGACAAUAGACACGGUGGAACUAUCUCCUAUAGAGAGGACACAAGCAGCGCUGUACUAGCACAAGUCACUGCAGAUGUUAAGCAAUACUUCCCUAACAUACCUUUUGCUGCUACUUCAGCUUUCGUCGCUACCUGGGACAGUGUUCCAU